Molecule: unclassified non-coding RNA, 2654 nt
Filed under: Hevea brasiliensis (rubber tree)
Lineage: Eukaryota; Viridiplantae; Streptophyta; Magnoliopsida; Malpighiales; Euphorbiaceae
Source: RNAcentral
CGGUGUUAGAAUUUUUUUUAAAGCCCGGUUUAGGAUCUUCAAUUCCAUUGACGGGACAGGUCCAUGGUUUAAGUUAGGCUUUCCUUUCAUUUCCUCGAAAAUUACAAUGUUACUAAGAAUACCGUGGUGCCAUAUGUCUUUUUUGUUCAUUUUGUAAAUUGAACAUUGUCAAUUGAACAUUGCAAUUGUAGGAGAGGAUUGUUUGAUUAACAACUUGCAAGCAUUUCACACUAUUUCUGCAAACAAAUAGCUCAAAAGAAAAAGAAAAAUGAGAAAUGUGGAAUAUAGAAGACAAACCAAAUAUCUUGCAAAUUCAACUAUAAAUUAGUACAAUACACUUCUCAAAUGUAUACCCAUCAUCAUACACUAUAUAAGAUUAGGUAAAAACAAAUAAGACUAGUAUUAUAAUAUAAGGGCUGCGGGCUUACAAUUUUUGUUUAGCCGCUUCAACCCCUAAAAGCUUCACAACUUAGCACACCAAACCCACCAAGCAUAACAUCAAAAAUAACCCGUUUUCACUCUCUUUUUAGUCCGUUCCCCUGAUGCCCAAAUACCCAUGUCAAAAUAAGCUGCUGCUGCUUUAAAAAACAAUUGAACCAAAAAGGGCAAUAAAUGGAUAUAGAUUAUGACGGGAAUUUUUCUUUUUGGGAUUUGGUUAAAAUUAAAUUAAUUGAAAUCAGACUCUGAAAUUCUUUCCGGUGAACGUUUGACCAAACUGCCAGUGGGCUGGGACUAUGUUCCAUGAAGUGGAAGUGCGUCUAUCACUGCCCGUGACCCUAAAGGAAAGUGACUGACCAACCAAAACAGCAUUUGACUGCCAGUUUUGACCCCAGUUACGACUCAUGCUCAUCCACCCAGUCCUCGAACCCUUCACGCUAACCUUCACGAUAUCCCCUGCACCCGCGACAUUGGAGAUCAAAACCAAAUUGAAGUAACGGAAACCGUUGACGGUGAACCUGAUACCGCCUCUCUUUCGGCAUGGCACCCUACGCAAACAAACCACAAACCGUAAGGACAAUUUGGUAAAUUAGAUCAGAGAAAAUGUUAACAUGAGACGCGGGGCGUGAUUUUAGCGUGGGACACCAAACGUGGACCCUACUUUCUAUCCUAAGAGGCUAGUAAGGAUUUGGGGAACAGAGUUAGUGUUUGACGAAUGCGGUGCUUUGAUUUUAUAGUCAAAAAGUGCGGUUCGCCCUUCGCAGUUACAGGGGAAGAAAAUUACAUAUGUGUAUCGCUCUCAAUUCUUGCAUCAUCAGCAAAGUGAAUGCAUGCUGAUGUACCUCCAAAAUGUAUAUAUAUAUAUGUAUAUACAUGUGCAUUGUCAAAAACGGCAGUGCGUUUUACUUCAACUAAAGCAACCAUCUCUGUUCUAAGGGUAAUCUGUUCCUUUAUGGAGGCAAAAAGAGGGAAAACUAACAACCGAAAGUGACUAUAAAGGGCCCCAUAGCUAAACUCUAGUAAACGACGGAAUAGGAGAAACGGCUGUAACCAACCCCAGCAUAGGAUUCGUCAACACCUUCAGCGGGAUAUCAGUUGGUAAAUUCAGUAAAAUACAGUGGGCAUUUCAGUCAUUUUAGCAGUAACUAGAUAGCAACUUUUCCCGCGGCAUAGCAAAAGCAAUAUACAAAAUCCGACCCAUACGGCUCCUCCAGACCCUGACCCACAUAACCCGCUCCAAAAAAAUAAUAAUUUUCUUCAUUAACUCUGAAAAACGUGUAUUAGUGCUUAAAAAACAAUAAAAAUAUUUUGUCAUGUAAAAUAAUGUGCAUGACUAUGUCAUUUAGCUAUUAAUUGAAGUAAUGGGAGAGCGUGCUAGUAAUGUUAAAAUGACAAAGAAGAAAUUGGCUUACCGGCGGUAGGCAACAGGGACGAUGCCGGAACGGUACUCGGCGAUCUUAAGGAACAUGGGCAUGGCGAGGUCGAAGUGGGGGCGAGGAGGGUUGCACCAUCCACCAUUGUCAUUAGGAAGAGCAUAAUUUGGUGGACAAAAGUUUGUAGCAGUAAUGAAAAUGGAAGGGCUGCCUGAGUGACACCAUUGUGGCUCAUUUGCGCACUUGAUUUCAUAGCAAGCACCGCAACUAAGACCAUUGUUGAACAGAGCUGUGCUCAGCGCUGCAGUGUUCACCCCAUAGCCUUGGCUGUACAGGUUGCCAUACCCACAAGCCCCACCUGAGGGGAAAAAAAAGGAUUUUAAGCUUCGGGUUUCCAGAUUUUUAGAGAACGGUAAAAAUCCAAGAAUGUUGAAGAGAACAUUAUAAAUGAAGUCAAAAGAUGCUCAUUUACAAGUAUUUUCUCAAAAAUCGCACAAUGAAGGUACAUGGAGGGAAAGAAAGGGACAUACCCAUGGUGCCGGAGGCAUCAGCACCACCAUAGAAGGUUGCAUGAGCACUUUGCCAAGCACCACCACUGUAAACACCUGGAAUUCUAGCUUCAGCCACCCACAUUAGCGACAUUACUAGAGUUGCAAUGGAAAUUACACUACCCGCUGCCAUUUUUUUUUCUCUCUCUUGACUACCAAACCCUCACUACAAACCCACUCCUAUUCUGCUCUGAGAAAAAGAGAAGGAGAGAGAGUGUUAAUGGAGAUGUGAGUGGCAGAGGAGAGGAAGAGCAGAGUACUUAAAGAGCAGGCAAAGGGAGUAGCUACAGGGGCG